Molecule: transfer RNA, 64 nt
Filed under: Scolytinae sp. BMNH 1274279
Lineage: Eukaryota; Metazoa; Arthropoda; Insecta; Coleoptera; Curculionidae
Also listed under: 1 other name
Description: tRNA-Trp
Source: RNAcentral
AAGAAUUUAAGUUAUAAUAAACUUCCGGCCUUCAAAGUCGAAAAAAGAAAAUUUUCUAAUUCUU